Pteropus alecto (black flying fox) is the source of this 2891-nucleotide long non-coding RNA. RefSeq lists it as uncharacterized. Lineage: Eukaryota; Metazoa; Chordata; Mammalia; Chiroptera; Pteropodidae. The record is from RefSeq and is a predicted model, not a curated record. The transcript has 2 exons.
ACAUGGGCAGAGUAUAGGGUCAGAGUAAAGAAGAACCCUUUAAAUCAAAUAACUGAAUUGUACUAGUUCAAUUUGUCCUUAUUUUUCCCAUUUUGUUACAGGUCCUGUGCAAAGCAUUGCCUCAGCACCAGUUUAUGGAGAUGGAUGAAGGAACCUUAUAUUUUCACUCUGAAGAGCUGAUGUUCCCCAAGUCUAACAAUCACAUAUGUGUCCAGUGUCUCAAGAACUGUCCUGGACAGCCACAAACCCUCAGGACUUUCAACACUACACCAGAAACUCACACUGUCUUCCAGAGACCCAAGAUUUGCAUGUCUUUGGCUACUUGUGCUGGGAAGUCACUCUUAAGACUAAAGCAAGUCCCUCACACUACCUUUUAAGCCCCGCCUUCUCCUCAUCAAGUAUUCAAGUGCCUAUAUGUACACACAGUACAUGCCAUAUACGCAGUUCCUAGAGCUUGCUGUUCCACAGGGGAGAUGGACAAUUACCACAGAAGGUAAGGAGGGCCGGGUCAAGGGUAAGGCGGGGUGAGUUCGGUCACAUCACGGUGGCUAACUUCUUUUUGAGAGGGACAAGUAGGUGUCUCUUCCCCUGAGAGCCUAAGUUCACUUAAACUCACUGAAGUUUAAGUGAUAGUUUUCGGGGUGAGGUAGAGGUGGAGAAAGAGGUCAUAAAAUUUGAUGGUCUCUGGGACCUAGGAGAACAGAAUAGGCAAAGACUUGGAAGCAGCACAUGUUCUUUGGUGUGGCUAGCACCUAAAUGAUGAGGGAUGGGCAAAAGAUGAGGCUGGGAAACGAGGCCAGGUCAGGACGGGGAGAGCCCCGUCAGCCUGGCCAGGGGGUGUGGACUUGAUCUAAAAGGUCAGAGAAACCCUCGAAGGGCUUCCCCACGGGCAGGUUGGGUGCAGAAUUUGAAAAGCUCGUUAUGGACAUGGCACCCUUGCAUUUGUCUUGCCCUGAGCUAUGCAGUCAAUGAUGUUUCUCUGAACUCCACAGCCGCCCCUUCCCUUUCCUCAAUGGCCCAGUCUCCCAGCUUUCCACUGACUUUAAAUCACCUUUGUUCCAAUCCAUAGACCCAAGAACAAAACUGGGCCCUCAGUCAAAAAGCAUAUGUUUUCUUUUGAUCUGGACAGAGCUUAGGUUAGUGGGGCUUGUCAAUGAAAAGCGACUAGAAAGUAAUUUGGGGCAAUACAGUGCCUUGGAGGACACGUUAGCAUCUAAAUUACUUUGUCAGAGUGGAGAACCCAGGAGACAGGUGCCAUCGGGGGCUGUGUCGAUGUGUUUAAACGUGGGGAGAACUCACUUUUUCUUCGUGUAGUUUACAGGCAGGAAGGGAGUAAUUUGUAUAUCGAAGAUGGCCAUCUGCAGUUAACAUCUGGAUUUUCACUUAUAUUCGAUCCAACCCAUGGAGUUUCUUCUGAUACACUUUGCCAGACAAAUCGUAUGCUAACUUUGGGGAAUGGCUAGGUCCAAGUAGGCCAAAGGAGAAUUUUAAAAGUAGCCUUUCCAUCUGCCCCCUCCUGGCUUUAUGUGCCCUAGAAAACACUCAGCAGCACUUCCCAGAAACCACAGAGACAGAAGUGAAACUACACCGUCCUCCGUGAGGCCACCCUGAAUCACUUCUUUGUACAAGAUCAUCCACCAGACACCGAAGCCUCCGUGCCCGAUCUUCACUCCCCCAAAUGCCUUCAGAAUGGAAAUUCCCAGGUUCCUGCACAUCCGAGCCAGAGUACACAUGAAAGCGUCGUAUAAAGGUGCUAGAGAACUGAAAUGCUCUGCAACAGACAAGAAAAGAGUGUCACCUCACAAUCCGACAGCUAAAAACAGAGCUCGCCUCAGCUACAGCCCCAGCCCCAGGAUGGAAGUACACCUUUACUCAGUCACGAAGCUGCUUAUGUGGGUGAGGUACUCUCUGAGGUCCAGAAGACAAGAAACCUGGUCAGAAAUUUGAUAUAAAGCGAUGAGUGUCUUGAGAGGUCCAGUGAAGUGCCAUGGCAGUCCUUUCAGCUGGAACAAUCAGACAAGGCUUCCAGGAGGAGGUGGCAUUUGUGAUGCUCCUUGAGUGAAGAUGGUAAAAUUUGGAAGAGGCAGAAUAGAUAAGAGCAGAUUUUGAACCCACUGUAGGGGGCCUCAUGCCUGCGAUGCAGGAGAGGAAUACAGAGUGAGUGAACCUCUAGGAAGUGGUAGGGGAGCGAUGCUAGAGAACUGAGGAGGAAAGCAGACUCGGGGGAACUGGUUUUGUAAUGAACUGUGAGGACAGGGAGCCUGGCACACCACAGGCACUUGACGAAUGUCGCGAUGGGAACGAAACCCUCCUUUCUAACGCAAGGCUCUGUGCCUACGGCUUUCCAAGAAGCACGAUGGAACGGACAUACGGAAACAGUAACAGAAAGCAGUGCUUUCAACUAUUUGUUUUACAGAAUGCAGGGUGAAGCUGCAAAAGGAUGUUUAGCACCACGAAAAGUAGGCCAAGGGUAAGAAAAACUCCCCAUACCCAAGAGAAUUCAGCUGACCAAAUUAAGUCUGAUCCAGAAUAAACAGUUCUCAUCUGGAGAUCUGGCAGUUCAGAAAGUUCUGUCCAAGGGCAAAAAGGAGGCUCAGGAUGCUGAUCUGCAUAACUACGUAAGCCUUUAGGAAACAGGGAAGAGCUGCUGCGGUGCCGUGCGUGAGGACACUCCAAUGAGAGAAAAUAACAGUUCUCAGGCCUCAAGAGAAACUAGGCUCCCAUGCCCUUUCCAUGAACUUGACCAACCUCAGUCAGUUUUCCCCAUGCUCACCCAGCAUUCAAGGCCUAAAACAAGGUUUCCAUUAUCAAAUCCCUCCAAUAGAAAUAACUUUCAGAAUCAUGUGAGCACUGGAGCUCAUGUGAAGGGAAACAAGUUUAGCUAUUACAAA